Molecule: long non-coding RNA, 1526 nt
Filed under: Anas platyrhynchos platyrhynchos (common mallard)
Lineage: Eukaryota; Metazoa; Chordata; Aves; Anseriformes; Anatidae
Description: lncRNA (ENSAPLG00000017974.1)
Source: RNAcentral
CUAUGAUGAGUCCUGAAAUUUGAUAUUAAAUGAAAUGUCAGAUAAUGAAACUGUAAAUCCUGUCUUCUUAAAAGUAACUGAAUGAACUGCUGAAAAUAACCCAUCAUCUGGAGGAGCAGCCAGGUUAGAUGCUAAUAAUGGCAUUUCCCAAACAGAUAGUGAUGCAGAUUUUUUGUAUAUGGUAUACUGGGACCCCAUUGCUGACCUGAAUGCAAGAUGAGGAAUGAAAUAGGUUUAAGUAAUACAGAAAAUCUAAUACAUUUAAGAUGAUUAUUGUUUGCCUGUCGCCUUAUAGAGCCUUCCUAACCCCAGGGGAUCACUGGAGAAGAUAACUAUGAUGCACACAUCAUAGGCUGGGAAAUAUGCUGGAGCUUCUGAUGACUUACUUGGAGGGGCAAAACAACUAUUUUUGUACUAUUUCCGUUAAGUGUCUAAUAAAUGUUGUCAUUUUUUAUACUGCAUAUUAAAGUUGUUUAAGUAUAAGAUGAGCACCAAAGAAAAUCAAAAUUGGAUGAAUACAAAUGAUUCUGUAAAUAUUUGAAGCUUAAUUAGCUGGUAAUAUUUUAACAAAAUAUAUAGGAAAAGCCAGCUUGUUUAUUCAGUUCACCAUUAAGAGCUAUGCUGUAAUGUGUUACUUGACAAUGUGGUACUGCAUGCCUCUGAUUUUAUAAUCUGUUGACUCAAAUCACAGACUGUCAAGCACAUUUCAAGAUUAUCCAUGUUUGCAUGUCAGAUUAUAUUUUUUUGGGAACAUGGCUUCUAUUUAUUCUUAACUCUGCUGCUGAUUUUCUCAGAUUCCUGCCAUAUGCUACACGUCACAGGUUUUCAUGUUGAACUCAGCAUUGCAGCCAGCUUUAUGCAGGUCAUAACUACCUCAGUAUAAAGCAGAAGUGGAGAAGGGAAGUAAUAAGAACCAGAAAGCACAAAUCAGUGUUCACUGUCAUUGCAGUCUCCUAUCUUCUGGGCAUUUUUGGUAGGUAAGUGAUGAGGUUAUCAACCACUAAAUUCAAUCUGAAGCCAGCUGACAUUUGAUGUGAGUCAGAGCCAGAGCUGGCAGCACAGUGGUACAAUGUAUUUCCAAUUAGCAAAUAUUUUAAUGUGCACUGGCAUAUCCUUCAAUCAGCUGUUCUCCCAGAUCUUCUUGUUUACUUUGCUGUGAAGGAAGCUUGUUUGUGAGAAGGUUUCGAUUUCACUGUUGACAGGCAGGUGAUGGGAUAGCAGCUUCUGUCUGUGUUUAAACCUCAAGGACACAGAUCCUCACAAACAGUGCACCUCACAAGCAAGCUCUCCUCUCCUUACAAAGUUUCCAAUAUCCAGGCUAAAACAGGGAUCAAUACUGUGCAACAGGGACAGUCAUGGCUUUCUUGCAGACGAGGAAUGUAGAAGACCUAUCUGCAUCUCUUGAACAAUUUCUGUGCUUGCUCAACAUUUUUGAAACACUCAGUGAAGUAAGGAUCUUCUUGUGAAUCAAAUCCACAUUGGCAGAGUUCACAGAGAAUAAUAAAUCUGUAUACUGUAAUAAAACA